This 253-nucleotide ribosomal RNA is filed under the name uncultured bacterium. RNAcentral's name for it is "partial 16S ribosomal RNA". It matches the Rfam family "Bacterial small subunit ribosomal RNA", at positions 524 to 776 of the family's 1533-position model. The record is from RNAcentral.
UACAGAGGAUGCAAGCGUUAUCCGGAAUGAUUGGGCGUAAAGCGUCUGUAGGUGGCUUUUUAAGUCCGCCGUCAAAUCCCAGGGCUCAACUCUGGACAGGCGGUGGAAACUACCAAGCUGGAGUACGGUAGGGGCAGAGGGAAUUUCCGGUGGAGCGGUGAAAUGCGUUGAUAUCAUCUGGAAUACCGGAGGCGAAGGCGGCUCACUGGGGGUCUUCUGACGCUGAGGAACGAAAGCCAGGGGAGCGAACGGG